RNAcentral lists this ribosomal RNA (427 nucleotides) under uncultured bacterium. Its description in RNAcentral is "partial 16S ribosomal RNA". It matches the Rfam family "Bacterial small subunit ribosomal RNA", at positions 355 to 774 of the family's 1533-position model. The record is from RNAcentral.
UGGGGAAUAUUGGACAAUGGGCGAAAGCCUGAUCCAGCCAUGCCGCGUGUGUGAAGAAGGUCUUCGGAUUGUAAAGCACUUUAAGUUGGGAGGAAGGGCAUUGACCUAAUACGUUAGUGUUUUGACGUUACCGACAGAAUAAGCACCGGCUAACUCUGUGCCAGCAGCCGCGGUAAUACAGAGGGUGCAAGCGUUAAUCGGAAUUACUGGGUGUAAAGCGCGCGUAGGUGGUUUGUUAAGUUGGAUGUGAAAUCCCCGGGCUCAACCUGGGAACUGCAUUCAAAACUGACUGACUAGAGUAUGGUAGAGGGUGGUGGAAUUUCCUGUGUAGCGGUGAAAUGCGUAGAUAUAGGAAGGAACACCAGUGGCGAAGGCGACCACCUGGACUAAUACUGACACUGAGGUGCGAAAGCGUGGGGAGCAAACA